This 769-nucleotide ribosomal RNA is filed under the name Colletotrichum higginsianum. RNAcentral describes it as "bacterial SSU rRNA". It matches the Rfam family "Bacterial small subunit ribosomal RNA", at positions 661 to 1367 of the family's 1533-position model. The record is from RNAcentral. Lineage: Eukaryota; Fungi; Ascomycota; Sordariomycetes; Glomerellales; Glomerellaceae.
ACCGUACUUGAGGUGGAGAGAUUUAUAUUCUGUGAUACCAAAAGGACUGAUAAAGGCGAAGGCUGUCUUUUAUGUAAUAACUGACGUUGGAGGACGAAGGCAUAGAGAACUAACAGGAUUUGACACCCUAGUAGUCUUUGCAGACAAUGAUGAAUGCCAUGAACUAGAUAAAGCUAUUAUUUCUAAUCGGGGAUUAAUUUAGUCAAUAAAUGAAAAUGAAAGAAUUAUAUAUAUGAUCAAUGAAAGUAUAUUUAAUUAUUAGAAAUAAGGUGAUUAUUUUAGUGAAUAAAUGAAAAUGAAAGCAUUUCACCUCAAGAGUAAUGUGGCAACGCAGGAACUGAAAUCACUAGACCGUUUCUGACACCAGUAGUGAAGUAUGUUAUUUAAUUCGAUGAUCCACGAAAAACCUUACCACAACUUGAAUAUCUAGUAAAUAGAUACAGGAGUUGCACGGCUGUUUUCAGUUAAUGUUGUGAAACUGUGGUUUUUCCAUGAAAUUAACGGAAUCCUUUGCUUUAUUUAUAGAAUGUUUUAUAGAGCAAUCUUUCUUUAUAGCGGAAAAGAUAAGAAGGAAAAAGACAAGUCAUCAUGGCCCUUAUGUUGUGGGCUAUAGACGUGCCACGUAGUCCUUAACAAAGAGAUGCGAAAAAUGCGAAUUUUAGCAAAUCUCAAAAAAGAGGGAUAUAAAUUAUACAAGGAUUGUAGUCUGAAACUCGACUAUAUGAAUAAGUAAUUACUAGUAAUCGUGAAUCACCAUGUCACGGUGAAU